RNAcentral lists this ribosomal RNA (468 nucleotides) under uncultured bacterium. RNAcentral's name for it is "partial 16S ribosomal RNA". It matches the Rfam family "Bacterial small subunit ribosomal RNA", at positions 28 to 507 of the family's 1533-position model. The record is from RNAcentral.
GACGAACGCUGGCGGCGUGCUUAACACAUGCAAGUCGAACGGAAAGGCCCUGCUUUUGUGGGGUGCUCGAGUGGCGAACGGGUGAGUAACACGUGAGUAACCUGCCCUUGACUUUGGGAUAACUUCAGGAACCUGGGGCUAAUACCGGAUAGGAGCUCCUGCUGCAUGGUGGGGGUUGGAAAGUUUCGGCGGUUGGGGAUGGACUCGCGGCUUAUGAGCUUGUUGGUGGGGUAGUGGCUUACCAAGGCUUUGACGGGUAGCCGGCCUGAGAGGGUGACCGGCCACAUUGGUACUGAGAUACGGCCCAGACUCCUACGGGAGGCAGCAGUGGGGAAUAUUGCACAAUGGGCGGAGGCCUGAUGCAGCAACGCCGCGGGCGGGAUGACGGCCUUCGGGUUGUAGACCGCUUUCGCCUGUGACGAAGCGUGAGUGACGGUAAUGGGUAAAGAAGCACCGGCUAACUACGUG